Molecule: unclassified non-coding RNA, 173 nt
Filed under: uncultured Gomphaceae
Lineage: Eukaryota; Fungi; Basidiomycota; Agaricomycetes; Gomphales; Gomphaceae
Description: sequence contains ITS1
Source: RNAcentral
CAGAGUUUGUUGGCCGUCGACUGUCGCCGGCGCUGCCGUGCACGUCGAUCUGGCCUUCCCUCUAAUUUCCACAUCACACUUGUGCACACGGAUUGAGGUGGGGGGUCUCUCCCUCCAUCUCUUCUCACAUUAGCCGUCUUGUUUAAUGCAUGUUUGUAAUUUUGGAUUUAAUA